This 158-nucleotide ribosomal RNA is filed under the name uncultured bacterium. Its description in RNAcentral is "partial 16S ribosomal RNA". It matches the Rfam family "Bacterial small subunit ribosomal RNA", at positions 355 to 509 of the family's 1533-position model. The record is from RNAcentral.
UGAGGAAUAUUGGUCAAUGGCCGAGAGGCUGAACCAGCCAAGCCGCGUGAGGGAAGAAGGUACAGAGUAUCGUAAACCUCUUUUGUCGGGGGAACAAAAGCGGGGACGCGUCCCCGUCUGCGUGUACCCGAGAAAAAGACAUCGGCUAACUCCGUGCC